RNAcentral lists this ribosomal RNA (291 nucleotides) under uncultured Eubacteriales bacterium. Its description in RNAcentral is "uncultured Clostridiales bacterium partial 16S ribosomal RNA". It matches the Rfam family "Bacterial small subunit ribosomal RNA", at positions 59 to 339 of the family's 1533-position model. The record is from RNAcentral. Lineage: Bacteria; Bacillati; Bacillota; Clostridia; Eubacteriales. RNAcentral also lists the same sequence under 1 other name.
AACGAAGUUACACAGAGGAAGUUUUCGGAUGGAAUCAGUAUAACUUAGUGGCGGACGGGUGAGUAACGCGUGGGAAACCUGCCCUGUACCGGGGGAUAACACUUAGAAAUAGGUGCUAAUACCGCAUAAGCGCACGGAACUGCAUGGUUCUGUGUGAAAAACUCCGGUGGUACAGGAUGGUCCCGCGUCUGAUUAGCCAGUUGGCAGGGUAACGGCCUACCAAAGCGACGAUCAGUAGCCGGCCUGAGAGGGUGAACGGCCACAUUGGGACUGAGACACGGCCCAAACUCC